UGCAUCCCGAUCCUGAGGAUGAGGAUUCAGAUGACUACGAUGGAGAAGAAUAUGAUGUGGAAGCACAUGAACAAGGACAGGGGGACAUCCCUACAUUUUACACCUAUGAAGAAGGAUUAUCCCAUCUAACAGCAGAAGGCCAAGCCACACUGGAGAGAUUAGAAGGAAUGCUUUCUCAGUCUGUGAGCAGCCAGUAUAAUAUGGCUGGGGUCAGGACAGAAGAUUCAAUAAGAGAUUAUGAAGGUGAGUGUCCUUUUGCAGUGUGAACAGUCAGAUGAGCACU
This 283-nucleotide small RNA is filed under the name Pongo abelii (Sumatran orangutan). RNAcentral's name for it is "retained intron". Lineage: Eukaryota; Metazoa; Chordata; Mammalia; Primates; Hominidae. The record is from RNAcentral.